ACCAGAUGCAACAAAUUUAUACUCAACCAAUGAGGAAGAAAACAAAACAGUGUAGAACCAAACUUCAUCGUAUACUACACGACACCAUUAUUGCAGAGCAGAUAAAGAGUUACAUUACCAGAGUCUAACGGAACGGCACAGUCGAGCAUAAUUAAAGCUUGUCCCACUUACAUGCUGCGUAGUUAAUGCCUUUCCCAGCUCACGAGCUUUGCGCAAUAGGGAAACACCCUGCAAUAAGCAUAACUAAAUCUUUCAGUACGCCUAACACUCAAGAUCUCUAGUUCCCAUCGGUCAAGUCUUAUUCUUAUACAUGGCGACGAAAGAGCCUCAUGAGAUCCGUUAUAUGCAAAUCCAUCAGAUGAGAUGCAAUAAGUUUGUAUUCAAGCAAUGAGGAAUAAACAAAAUGGUGCAAAACCACACUGCAUUGUGUACGGCACGAGACCAUUAUUUCAGAGCAGAUCAAGAAUUACAUUACCAAAAUCUAGCGGAACGGCACAGGUGAGCAUAAUUAAAGUUUGUACCACUUACAUGCUAAAAAGUAAAUGUUUUUUCGGGCUCACCUGGAUUGCGCCGCUCAUCCCCGAUCCAGGUCGGUACAUGUUGUUCCGUAACAGAAACACCCUGCAAUCAGCAUAACUGAAGAUCCAGCGC
This 651-nucleotide long non-coding RNA is filed under the name Hordeum vulgare. RNAcentral's name for it is "long non-coding RNA (HVUL_LNC021120)". The record is from RNAcentral. Lineage: Eukaryota; Viridiplantae; Streptophyta; Magnoliopsida; Poales; Poaceae.